GACUUACCUAGAAUCGGGGCCCACUGGAACGACUGGCUAAUACCGAGAUGUGCCUGUGAAAGGUGAAAGAUUUAUUGCCUAGAGAUGAGCUCGCGUCUGAUUAGCUAGUUGGUGUGGUAACAGCGCACCAAGGCGACGAUCAGUACCUGGUCUGAGAGGAUGAUCAGGCACACUGGGACUGAGACACGGCCCAGACUCCUACGGGAGGCAGCAGUGGGGAAUUUUCCGCAAUGGGCGAAAGCCUGACGGAGCAAUACCGCGUGAGGGAGGAAGGCUCUUGGGUUGUAAACCUCUUUUCUCAGGGAAUAAUAAAGUGAAGGUACUUGAGGAAUAAGCAUCGGCUAACUCCGUGCCAGCAGCCGCGGUAAUACGGAGGAUGCAAGCGUUAUCCGGAAUGAUUGGGCGUAAAGCGGUCCGCAGGGUGGCAUAUGUGUGUCUGCUGUCUAAAGAGUGCGGGCUCAACCUCAUAAAGGCAGUGGAAACUGCUAAGCUAGAGUGCGAUCGGGGUAACAGGAAUUCCCUGGUGUAGCGGUGAAAUGCGUAGAGAUCAGGAAGAACACUCGGUGGCGAAAGCGUGCUACUAGGUCCGUCAACUGACACUGAGGGACGAAAGCUAGGGGAGCGAAUGGGGAUUAGAUACCCUAUGUAGUCA
RNAcentral lists this ribosomal RNA (652 nucleotides) under Trichormus variabilis BTA157. RNAcentral's name for it is "bacterial SSU rRNA". It matches the Rfam family "Bacterial small subunit ribosomal RNA", at positions 123 to 796 of the family's 1533-position model. Lineage: Bacteria; Bacillati; Cyanobacteriota; Cyanophyceae; Nostocales; Nostocaceae. The record is from RNAcentral.